UACGUAGGGUGCGAGCGUUGUCCGGAAUUAUUGGGCGUGAAGAGCUUGUAGGCGGUUUGUCGCGUCUGCCGUGAAAUUUCGGGGCUCAACCCCGAACUUGCGGUGGGUACGGGCAGACUAGAGUGUGGUAGGGGAGACUGGAAUUCCUGGUGUAGCGGUGAAAUGCGCAGAUAUCAGGAGGAACACCGAUGGCGAAGGCAGGUCUCUGGGCCACUACUGACGCUGAGAAGCGAAAGCAUGGGGAGCGAACAGG
RNAcentral lists this ribosomal RNA (253 nucleotides) under uncultured bacterium. Its description in RNAcentral is "partial 16S ribosomal RNA". It matches the Rfam family "Bacterial small subunit ribosomal RNA", at positions 524 to 776 of the family's 1533-position model. The record is from RNAcentral.